GAUGAACGCUGGCGGCGUGCCUAAUACAUGCAAGUCGAGCGAACAGACGAGGAGCUUGCUCCUCUGACGUUAGCGGCGGACGGGUGAGUAACACGUGGAUAACCUACCUAUAAGACUGGGAUAACUUCGGGAAACCGGAGCUAAUACCGGAUAAUAUAUUGAACCGCAUGGUUCAAUAGUGAAAGACGGUUUUGCUGUCACUUAUAGAUGGAUCCGCGCCGCAUUAGCUAGUUGGUAAGGUAACGGCUUACCAAGGCAACGAUGCGUAGCCGACCUGAGAGGGUGAUCGGCCACACUGGAACUGAGACACGGUCCAGACUCCUACGGGAGGCAGCAGUAGGGACUCUUCCGCAAUGGGCGAAAGCCUGACGGAGCAACGCCGCGUGAGUGAUGAAGGUCUUCGGAUCGUAAAACUCUGUUAUUAGGGAAGAACAAAUGUGUAAGUAACUAUGCACGUCUUGACGGUACCUAAUCAGAAAGCCACGGCUAACUACGUG
This 497-nucleotide ribosomal RNA is filed under the name uncultured bacterium. Its description in RNAcentral is "partial 16S ribosomal RNA". It matches the Rfam family "Bacterial small subunit ribosomal RNA", at positions 28 to 507 of the family's 1533-position model. The record is from RNAcentral.